GCUUGCCGGACCUGACUGCUAUCGGAUUGGUACUAAGCCAUGCGAGUCGUUGUAGCAAUACAAGGCGGACGGCUCAGUAACACGUAGUCAACCUAACCUAUGGACGUGGAUAACCUCGGGAAACUGAGAAUAAACCGCGAUAGAUCAUUAUGCCUGGAAUGGCUUAUGGUUCAAACAAUUUAUUGCCGUAGGAUGGGACUGCGGCCUAUCAGCUUGUUGGUGAGGUAAUGGCCCACCAAGGCUAUAACAGGUACGGGCUCUGAGAGGAGAAGCCCGGAGAUGGGUACUGAGACACGGACCCAGGCCCUAUGGGGCGCAGCAGGCGAGAAACCUUAGCAAUGUGCGAAAGCACGACUAGGUUAAUCCGAGUGAUUUCUGUUGAAGAAAUCUUUUGUCAGUCGUAAAACCACAGACGAAUAAGGGGUGGGCAAGUCUGGUGUCAGCCGCCGCGGUAAUACCAGCACCUCGAGUGGUCAGGAGGUUUAUUGGGCCUAAAGCAUCCGUAGCCGGCUACGCAAGUCUCCGGUUAAAUCCAGCUGCUCAACAGAUGGGCUGCCGGAGAUACUACAUAGCUAGGGAGCGGGAGAGGUAGACGGUAUUCUGUGGGUAGGGGUAAAAUCCACUGAUCCAUAGAGGACCACCAGUGGCGAAGGCGGUCUACCAGAACGCGUUCGACGGUGAGGGAUGAAAGCUGGGGGAGCAAACCGGAUUAGAUACCCGGGUAGUCCCAGCUGUAAACGAUGCAAACUCGGUGAUGCAUUGGCUUAUGGCCAAUGCAGUGCCGCAGGGAAGCCGUUAAGUUUGCCGCCUGGGACGUACGGACGCAAGUCUGAAACUUAAAGGAAUAACGGGGGAGCAC
This 859-nucleotide ribosomal RNA is filed under the name uncultured archaeon. Its description in RNAcentral is "bacterial SSU rRNA". It matches the Rfam family "Archaeal small subunit ribosomal RNA", at positions 12 to 879 of the family's 1478-position model. The record is from RNAcentral.